Molecule: unclassified non-coding RNA, 414 nt
Filed under: soil metagenome
Description: partial contains 5.8S ribosomal RNA, internal transcribed spacer 2, and large subunit ribosomal RNA
Rfam family: 5.8S ribosomal RNA (bases 1-120)
Source: RNAcentral
GAUGAAGAACGUAGCGAAAUGCGAUAAGUAAUGUGAAUUGCAGAAUUCAGUGAAUCAUCGAAUCUUUGAACGCACCUUGCGCUCCUUGGUAUUCCUCGGAGCAUGCCUGUUUGAGUAUCAUGAAACUCUCAAAGAAAAUCUUUUGUUAAUUCAAUUGGUUUGCUUUGGACUUGGAGGUUUUUUUUGCAGAUUAAUUUCUGCUCCUCUUAAAUAUAUUAGCUGGAUCUCAGUAUAUGCUCGGUUCCACUCGGCGUGAUAAGUAUCACUCGCUGAGGACACUGGUAAAAAAGGUGGCCGGGAAAUACAGAUGAACCGCUUCAUACAGUCCAUUGACUUGGACAAUAUAAGUUUUAAGAUCUGAUCUCAAAUCAGGUAGGACUACCCGCUGAACUUAAGCACAUCAAAAGCGGAGGA